Molecule: long non-coding RNA, 250 nt
Organism: Perca flavescens (yellow perch)
Lineage: Eukaryota; Metazoa; Chordata; Actinopteri; Perciformes; Percidae
Exons: 3
Source: RefSeq, a predicted model, not a curated record
CUUGACAACACAUUUCAAUAAGUCUCACUUCACAAAGUGUCAGGAUGGAGGAAACAUAUCUACUGUGGCUGCUCUUUCUGAUCUCACUACUGAGCUUCACAACAAACCAAGCCUCUCUGACUGUGAGUCCCAGCAGCUCUCAGCUGUUUAAAGGAGAGUCUUUCUCUCUGAGCUGUGAGGAGGACGACAGCUCUGCUGGAUGGACUCUGAGGAGGAACACGAGUGAUGAAAUCAGGACUCAGUGUGGAGA